RNAcentral lists this ribosomal RNA (253 nucleotides) under uncultured bacterium. RNAcentral describes it as "partial 16S ribosomal RNA". It matches the Rfam family "Bacterial small subunit ribosomal RNA", at positions 524 to 776 of the family's 1533-position model. The record is from RNAcentral.
UACGGAGGAUGCAAGUGUUAUCCGGAAUCACUGGGCGUAAAGCGUCUGUAGGUGGUUUAAUAAGUCAACUGUUAAAUCUUGAGGCUCAACCUCAAAAUCGCAGUCGAAACUAUUAGGCUAGAGUAUAGUAGGGGUAAAGGGAAUUUCCAGUGGAGCGGUGAAAUGCGUAGAGAUUGGAAAGAACACCGAUGGCGAAGGCACUUUACUGGGCUAUUACUAACACUCAGAGACGAAAGCGAGGGUAGCAAAUGGG